This 465-nucleotide ribosomal RNA is filed under the name Vreelandella stevensii. Its description in RNAcentral is "partial 16S ribosomal RNA". It matches the Rfam family "Bacterial small subunit ribosomal RNA", at positions 338 to 795 of the family's 1533-position model. The record is from RNAcentral. Lineage: Bacteria; Pseudomonadati; Pseudomonadota; Gammaproteobacteria; Oceanospirillales; Halomonadaceae.
CCUACGGGAGGCUGCAGUGGGGAAUAUUGGACAAUGGGCGAAAGCCUGAUCCAGCCAUGCCGCGUGUGUGAAGAAGGCCUUCGGGUUGUAAAGCACUUUCAGUGGGGAAGAAAGCCUUGGGGCUAAUACCCUCGAGGAAGGACAUCACCCACAGAAGAAGCACCGGCUAACUCCGUGCCAGCAGCCGCGGUAAUACGGAGGGUGCGAGCGUUAAUCGGAAUUACUGGGCGUAAAGCGCGCGUAGGCGGUCUGAUAAGCCGGUUGUGAAAGCCCCGGGCUCAACCUGGGAACGGCAUCCGGAACUGUCAGGCUAGAGUGCAGGAGAGGAAGGUAGAAUUCCCGGUGUAGCGGUGAAAUGCGUAGAGAUCGGGAGGAAUACCAGUGGCGAAGGCAGCCUUCUGGACUGACACUGACGCUGAGGUGCGAAAGCGUGGGUAGCAAACAGGAUUAGAUACCCGUGUAGUC